Molecule: long non-coding RNA, 1187 nt
Organism: Homo sapiens (human)
Lineage: Eukaryota; Metazoa; Chordata; Mammalia; Primates; Hominidae
Exons: 2
Source: RefSeq, a predicted model, not a curated record
GGAUGCUAUUCUUCUUGAACCUGAAAAACAGAAUGUCAGUGUGUUCUGUGAAUUUCCUGUGAUUUUCACCAGUGGAACACAUGUCCAGAACCAAGCUGAGUCCCUUCCAGAGCACAUUUUUCUAGGUGCUGGAGAGAGAAAAUAGGACAAGUUUCCAAAUGCUAAGGGGAUAUAAAGGAGAAGAUAAAUGCAGCAUGGGGACCAGCCAUAGAACUGUCAUGGAGUGGGACCACACUUGACUCCUUUCCAGUAGCAGAAUCUUCCCAGAGGACUUUUCCUAAGAAAAUGAUAUUUGUGUCCCUUUCAAAAUGACAUUUUUAAUUGCACCUAGGAAUGGGCUAUCACCAAACACCCUGCCUCCUUGUCCUGGUGGUUAUUUUGAUGAUUGAGAUGACUCAGCGUUAACCUUGAACACUUCAAAACCAAGUACCAGGAAAUGUGGAGUGUCCUCUAAUGUCUUUUUAAACUUACAGGGUCUAGCCUAAUGAUAUUAGCUGAUUUGAUGGCAGAAAAUAGGCCUAUCUAAGCAUUCUGCAGACACUUGGAAGAAAUUAAUAAAUGUACCUCAUUCUAGUACAUGAGAAACACUAGGAUUAUUACAAUGAAGAAACAAAGGUAAGACACGAUAGAACAAGAAUGCAUUCCUUGGGACAAUGAAAACCAAAAAAAUAUAUAACUUUGGUUUUUUGUUCCAUAAUGAAGUUGUUUACAGAAUAAAACAAUAAGAAGAAUCAAUGGGAAAAUAAAAAGGAAAAUCCAGACAUUAAAGCAGCAUUUCAUGUCAUCAACAUGGGUGGCUUCUCCACCUUCCUCAAAGUAGAAUAGCAAACUUUUAAGUUCCCAAGGUGUUUACCUACUUAGCCACACAUACCAUGGGCCCACUUCUCAGUGGCUUUGAUAUACCUAGCAUGGUCUAAAGAAGUGUCAGACUAACUCAUCUUACAAAAGGAACCGCUUAAUAAUAAAAGAGCUGUGCAAGUAGCUUGUUUCAUCUUAAUUAGCCCAAGAUGAUGCUUCUGAAGUGCUGUGCUUUCUUAUCUAUCCUUCCUGCUGCAAGGGAAGAAGACUUUGACAUCUUUAACAACUCAGCCUCAGGAACCAGAAUCAGGAGUAGCAGAUCUUGCAUUGGCAUUGUCAAAGAAGCUGUAAAAAUGGGUGCCUAAAAUAAAUUUGCCUUUGUAUUGGAA